This 31-nucleotide non-coding RNA is filed under the name Mus musculus (house mouse). Lineage: Eukaryota; Metazoa; Chordata; Mammalia; Rodentia; Muridae. The record is from RNAcentral.
UGAGUAAAUAAUUUCACUAAUAUCUGAGUCC